UAUCCUGUCUGAAUAUGGGGGGACCAUCCUCCAAGGCUAAAUACUCCUGACUGACCGAUAGUGAACCAGUACCGUGAGGGAAAGGCGAAAAGAACCCCGGCGAGGGGAGUGAAAAAGAACCUGAAACCGUGUACGUACAAGCAGUGGGAGCACGCUUAGGCGUGUGACUGCGUACCUUUUGUAUAAUGGGUCAGCGACUUAUAUUCUGUAGCAAGGUUAACCGAAUAGGGGAGCCGAAGGGAAACCGAGUCUUAACUGGGCGUUAAGUUGCAGGGUAUAGACCCGAAACCCGGUGAUCUAGCCAUGGGCAGGUUGAAGGUUGGGUAACACUAACUGGAGGACCGAACCGACUAAUGUUGAAAAAUUAGCGGAUGACUUGUGGCUGGGGGUGAAAGGCCAAUCAAACCGGGAGAUAGCUGGUUCUCCCCGAAAGCUAUUUAGGUAGCGCCUCGUGAAUUCAUCUCCGGGGGUAGAGCACUGUUUCGGCAAGGGGGUCAUCCCGACUUACCAACCCGAUGCAAACUGCGAAUACCGGAGAAUGUUAUCACGGGAGACACACGGCGGGUGCUAACGUCCGUCGUGAAGAGGGAAACAACCCAGACCGCCAGCUAAGGUCCCAAAGUCAUGGUUAAGUGGGAAACGAUGUGGGAAGGCCCAGACAGCCAGGAUGUUGGCUUAGAAGCAGCCAUCAUUUAAAGAAAGCGUAAUAGCUCACUGGUCGAGUCGGCCUGCGCGGAAGAUGUAACGGGGCUAAACCAUGCACCGAAGCUGCGGCAGCGACGCUUAUGCGUUGUUGGGUAGGGGAGCGUUCUGUAAGCCUGUGAAGGUGUGCUGUGAGGUAUGCUGGAGGUAUCAGAAGUGCGAAUGCUGACAUAAGUAACGAUAAAGCGGGUGAAAAGCCCGCUCGCCGGAAGACCAAGGGUUCCUGUCCAACGUUAAUCGGGGCAGGGUGAGUCGACCCCUAAGGCGAGGCCGAAAGGCGUAGUCGAUGGGAAACAGGUUAAUAUUCCUGUACUUGGUGUUACUGCGAAGGGGGGACGGAGAAGGCUAUGUUGGCCGGGCGACGGUUGUCCCGGUUUAAGCGUGUAGGCUGGUUUUCCAGGCAAAUCCGGAAAA
This 1116-nucleotide ribosomal RNA is filed under the name Shigella flexneri. RNAcentral describes it as "partial 23S ribosomal RNA". It matches the Rfam family "Bacterial large subunit ribosomal RNA", at positions 430 to 1549 of the family's 2925-position model. The record is from RNAcentral. Lineage: Bacteria; Pseudomonadati; Pseudomonadota; Gammaproteobacteria; Enterobacterales; Enterobacteriaceae.